RNAcentral lists this ribosomal RNA (403 nucleotides) under Actinomycetes bacterium. RNAcentral describes it as "Actinobacteria bacterium partial 16S ribosomal RNA". It matches the Rfam family "Bacterial small subunit ribosomal RNA", at positions 355 to 776 of the family's 1533-position model. The record is from RNAcentral. Lineage: Bacteria; Bacillati; Actinomycetota; Actinomycetes.
UGGGGAAUAUUGGACAAUGGGCGCAAGCCUGAUCCAGCCAUGCCGCGUGAGUGAUGAAGGCCCUAGGGUUGUAAAGCUCUUUCACCGGUGAAGAUAAUGACGGUAACCGGCGAAGAAGCCCCGGCUAACUUCGUGCCAGCAGCCGCGGUAAUACGAAGGGGGCUAGCGUUGUUCGGAUUUACUGGGCGUAAAGCGCACGUAGGCGGACUUUUAAGUCAGGGGUGAAAUCCCGGGGCUCAACCCCGGAACUGCCUUUGAUACUGGAAGUCUUGAUUUUGUUGGAGGUGAGUGAAAUUCCGAGUGUAGAGGUGAAAUUCGUGGAUAUUCGGAGGAACACCAGUGGCGAAGGCGGCUCACUGGACCUUACUGACGCUGAGGUGCGAAAGCGUGGGGAGCAAACAGG